RNAcentral lists this ribosomal RNA (1530 nucleotides) under Escherichia coli UMEA 3053-1. Its description in RNAcentral is "bacterial SSU rRNA". It matches the Rfam family "Bacterial small subunit ribosomal RNA". Lineage: Bacteria; Pseudomonadati; Pseudomonadota; Gammaproteobacteria; Enterobacterales; Enterobacteriaceae. The record is from RNAcentral.
AGAGUUUGAUCAUGGCUCAGAUUGAACGCUGGCGGCAGGCCUAACACAUGCAAGUCGAACGGUAACAGAAAGCAGCUUGCUGCUUUGCUGACGAGUGGCGGACGGGUGAGUAAUGUCUGGGAAACUGCCUGAUGGAGGGGGAUAACUACUGGAAACGGUAGCUAAUACCGCAUAACGUCGCAAGACCAAAGAGGGGGACCUUCGGGCCUCUUGCCAUCGGAUGUGCCCAGAUGGGAUUAGCUUGUUGGUGGGGUAACGGCUCACCAAGGCGACGAUCCCUAGCUGGUCUGAGAGGAUGACCAGCCACACUGGAACUGAGACACGGUCCAGACUCCUACGGGAGGCAGCAGUGGGGAAUAUUGCACAAUGGGCGCAAGCCUGAUGCAGCCAUGCCGCGUGUAUGAAGAAGGCCUUCGGGUUGUAAAGUACUUUCAGCGGGGAGGAAGGGAGUAAAGUUAAUACCUUUGCUCAUUGACGUUACCCGCAGAAGAAGCACCGGCUAACUCCGUGCCAGCAGCCGCGGUAAUACGGAGGGUGCAAGCGUUAAUCGGAAUUACUGGGCGUAAAGCGCACGCAGGCGGUUUGUUAAGUCAGAUGUGAAAUCCCCGGGCUCAACCUGGGAACUGCAUCUGAUACUGGCAGGCUUGAGUCUCGUAGAGGGGGGUAGAAUUCCAGGUGUAGCGGUGAAAUGCGUAGAGAUCUGGAGGAAUACCGGUGGCGAAGGCGGCCCCCUGGACGAAGACUGACGCUCAGGUGCGAAAGCGUGGGGAGCAAACAGGAUUAGAUACCCUGGUAGUCCACGCCGUAAACGAUGUCGACUUGGAGGUUGUGCCCUUGAGGCGUGGCUUCCGGAGCUAACGCGUUAAGUCGACCGCCUGGGGAGUACGGCCGCAAGGUUAAAACUCAAAUGAAUUGACGGGGGCCCGCACAAGCGGUGGAGCAUGUGGUUUAAUUCGAUGCAACGCGAAGAACCUUACCUGGUCUUGACAUCCACGGAAGUUUUCAGAGAUGAGAAUGUGCCUUCGGGAACCGUGAGACAGGUGCUGCAUGGCUGUCGUCAGCUCGUGUUGUGAAAUGUUGGGUUAAGUCCCGCAACGAGCGCAACCCUUAUCCUUUGUUGCCAGCGGUCCGGCCGGGAACUCAAAGGAGACUGCCAGUGAUAAACUGGAGGAAGGUGGGGAUGACGUCAAGUCAUCAUGGCCCUUACGACCAGGGCUACACACGUGCUACAAUGGCGCAUACAAAGAGAAGCGACCUCGCGAGAGCAAGCGGACCUCAUAAAGUGCGUCGUAGUCCGGAUUGGAGUCUGCAACUCGACUCCAUGAAGUCGGAAUCGCUAGUAAUCGUGGAUCAGAAUGCCACGGUGAAUACGUUCCCGGGCCUUGUACACACCGCCCGUCACACCAUGGGAGUGGGUUGCAAAAGAAGUAGGUAGCUUAACCUUCGGGAGGGCGCUUACCACUUUGUGAUUCAUGACUGGGGUGAAGUCGUAACAAGGUAACCGUAGGGGAACCUGCGGUUGGAUCACCU